GCCCCCAUCGUCUAGCCUGGUUAGGACAUAUGGUUCUCAGCCAUAAAACACCGGUUCAAAUCCGGUUGGGGGUACCA
Molecule: transfer RNA, 77 nt
Filed under: Syntrophaceae bacterium
Lineage: Bacteria; Pseudomonadati; Thermodesulfobacteriota; Syntrophia; Syntrophales; Syntrophaceae
Description: tRNA-Glu
Rfam family: tRNA
About the family: Transfer RNA (tRNA) molecules are approximately 80 nucleotides in length. Their secondary structure includes four short double-helical elements and three loops (D, anti-codon, and T loops).
Source: RNAcentral